GACGAACGCUGGCGGCGUGCCUAAUACAUGCAAGUUGAGCGCUGAAGGUUGGUACUUGUACCAACUGGAUGAGCAGCGAACGGGUGAGUAACGCGUGGGGAAUCUGCCUUUGAGCGGGGGACAACAUUUGGAAACGAAUGCUAAUACCGCAUAAAAACUUUAAACACAAGUUUUAAGUUUGAAAGAUGCAAUUGCAUCACUCAAAGAUGAUCCCGCGUUGUAUUAGCUAGUUGGUGAGGUAAAGGCUCACCAAGGCGAUGAUACAUAGCCGACCUGAGAGGGUGAUCGGCCACAUUGGGACUGAGACACGGCCCAAACUCCUACGGGAGGCAGCAGUAGGGAAUCUCCGGCAAUGGACGAAAGUCUGACCGAGCAACGCCGCGUGAGUGAAGAAGGUUUUCGGAUCGUAAAACUCUGUUGGUAGAGAAGAACGUUGGUGAGAGUGGAAAGCUCAUCAAGUGACGGUAACUACCCAGAAAGGGGCGGCUAACUACGUG
Molecule: ribosomal RNA, 497 nt
Filed under: uncultured bacterium
Lineage: Bacteria
Description: partial 16S ribosomal RNA
Rfam family: Bacterial small subunit ribosomal RNA
Source: RNAcentral